Molecule: ribosomal RNA, 1434 nt
Filed under: uncultured bacterium
Lineage: Bacteria
Description: bacterial SSU rRNA
Rfam family: Bacterial small subunit ribosomal RNA
Source: RNAcentral
AGGCUUAACACAUGCAAGUCGAGGGGCAGCAUGGUCUUAGCUUGCUAAGGCCGAUGGCGACCGGCGCACGAGUGAGUAACACGUAUCCAACCUGCCGUCUACUCUUGGACAGCCUUCUGAAAGGAAGAUUAAUACAAGAUGGCAUCAUGAGUCCGCAUGUUCACAUGAUUAAAGGUAUUCCGGUAGACGAUGGGGAUGCGUUCCAUUAGAUAGUAGGCGGGGUAACGGCCCACCUAGUCUUCGAUGGAUAGGGGUUCUGAGAGGAAGGUCCCCCACAUUGGAACUGAGACACGGUCCAAACUCCUACGGGAGGCAGCAGUGAGGAAUAUUGGUCAAUGGGCGAGAGCCUGAACCAGCCAAGUAGCGUGAAGGAUGACUGCCCUAUGGGUUGUAAACUUCUUUUAUAAAGGAAUAAAGUCGGGUAUGGAUACCCGUUUGCAUGUACUUUAUGAAUAAGGAUCGGCUAACUCCGUGCCAGCAGCCGCGGUAAUACGGAGGAUCCGAGCGUUAUCCGGAUUUAUUGGGUUUAAAGGGAGCGUAGAUGGAUGUUUAAGUCAGUUGUGAAAGUUUGCGGCUCAACCGUAAAAUUGCAGUUGAUACUGGAUAUCUUGAGUGCAGUUGAGGCAGGCGGAAUUCGUGGUGUAGCGGUGAAAUGCUUAGAUAUCACGAAGAACUCCGAUUGCGAAGGCAGCCUGCUAAGCUGCAACUGACAUUGAGGCUCGAAAGUGUGGGUAUCAAACAGGAUUAGAUACCCUGGUAGUCCACACGGUAAACGAUGAAUACUCGCUGUUUGCGAUAUACUGCAAGCGGCCAAGCGAAAGCGUUAAGUAUUCCACCUGGGGAGUACGCCGGCAACGGUGAAACUCAAAGGAAUUGACGGGGGCCCGCACAAGCGGAGGAACAUGUGGUUUAAUUCGAUGAUACGCGAGGAACCUUACCCGGGCUUAAAUUGCAGAUGAAUUACGGUGAAAGCCGUAAGCCGCAAGGCAUCUGUGAAGGUGCUGCAUGGUUGUCGUCAGCUCGUGCCGUGAGGUGUUGGCUUAAGUGCCAUAACGAGCGCAACCCUUGUUGUCAGUUACUAACAGGUUCCGCUGAGGACUCUGACAAGACUGCCAUCGUAAGAUGUGAGGAAGGUGGGGAUGACGUCAAAUCAGCACGGCCCUUACGUCCGGGGCUACACACGUGUUACAAUGGGGGGUACAGAGGGCCGCUACCACGCGAGUGGAUGCCAAUCCCCAAAACCUCUCUCAGUUCGGACUGGAGUCUGCAACCCGACUCCACGAAGCUGGAUUCGCUAGUAAUCGCGCAUCAGCCACGGCGCGGUGAAUACGUUCCCGGGCCUUGUACACACCGCCCGUCAAGCCAUGGGAGCCGGGGGUACCUGAAGUGCGUAACCGCGAGGAGCGCCCUAGGGUAAAACUGGUGACUGGGGCU